RNAcentral lists this ribosomal RNA (253 nucleotides) under uncultured bacterium. RNAcentral describes it as "partial 16S ribosomal RNA". It matches the Rfam family "Bacterial small subunit ribosomal RNA", at positions 524 to 776 of the family's 1533-position model. The record is from RNAcentral.
UACGUAGGUGGCAAGCGUUAUCCGGAUUUAUUGGGCGUAAAGGGAACGCAGGCGGUCUUUUAAGUCUGAUGUGAAAGCCUUCGGCUUAACCGGAGUAGUGCAUUGGAAACUGGGAGACUUGAGUGCAGAAGAGGAGAGUGGAACUCCAUGUGUAGCGGUGAAAUGCGUAGAUAUAUGGAAGAACACCAGUGGCGAAGGCGGCUUACUGGACUGUAACUGACGUUGAGGCUCGAAAGCGUGGGGAGCAAACAGG